GAGGUUAUAUCUUAGUGGUAGAGUGUCUGCUUAGCAUGCAUAAGGUCCUGGGUACAGUCUCCAGUACCUCCA
This 72-nucleotide transfer RNA is filed under the name Camelus bactrianus (Bactrian camel). It matches the Rfam family "tRNA". Rfam says of the family: Transfer RNA (tRNA) molecules are approximately 80 nucleotides in length. Their secondary structure includes four short double-helical elements and three loops (D, anti-codon, and T loops). Further hydrogen bonds mediate the characteristic L-shaped molecular structure. tRNAs have two regions of fundamental functional importance: the anti-codon, which is responsible for specific mRNA codon recognition, and the 3' end, to which the tRNAs corresponding amino acid is attached (by aminoacyl-tRNA synthetases). tRNAs cope with the degeneracy of the genetic code in two manners: having more than one tRNA (with a specific anti-codon) for a particular amino acid; and 'wobble' base-pairing, i.e. permitting non-standard base-pairing at the 3rd anti-codon position. Lineage: Eukaryota; Metazoa; Chordata; Mammalia; Artiodactyla; Camelidae. The record is from Rfam by way of RNAcentral. RNAcentral also lists the same sequence under 2 other names.